GGUGAGAUGGCCGAGCGGUCUAAGGCGCCAGACUAAGGAUCAGGACAGUUUAUGUCCACUAUUCUCCUCCCUCUUAGGAGCGGGUAUCUGGUCCUCCGGGGCGUGGGUUCGAAUCCCACUCUCAUCA
Molecule: transfer RNA, 127 nt
Filed under: Crucibulum laeve
Lineage: Eukaryota; Fungi; Basidiomycota; Agaricomycetes; Agaricales; Nidulariaceae
Rfam family: tRNA
About the family: Transfer RNA (tRNA) molecules are approximately 80 nucleotides in length. Their secondary structure includes four short double-helical elements and three loops (D, anti-codon, and T loops). Further hydrogen bonds mediate the characteristic L-shaped molecular structure. tRNAs have two regions of fundamental functional importance: the anti-codon, which is responsible for specific mRNA codon recognition, and the 3' end, to which the tRNAs corresponding amino acid is attached (by aminoacyl-tRNA synthetases). tRNAs cope with the degeneracy of the genetic code in two manners: having more than one tRNA (with a specific anti-codon) for a particular amino acid; and 'wobble' base-pairing, i.e. permitting non-standard base-pairing at the 3rd anti-codon position.
Source: Rfam by way of RNAcentral